UUCAAUCAAUUCCUCCUCUUUCCGCCAAUACAAGUACCCCCAAUGCCUUUCUCUACUAACAAAACAACAUGCAACAACAAAACAACAAUAACCCACAAAUAAAAAACAAAUAAAUACCCAAAAACUAUGAAAGUUCAUACUUCUGCUACCAAGAAAAGAACCCAACUUUUAUAAUAACACAAAAUUGCUACUCGAUUUUGCUAGAGAAAGAGAUAGCGAGAGACUAGAUGCCGUCAAGACCGCGGACUAUUACUGUAUGAAUUUCUUACCACGGACUAUUACUGUAUGAAUUUCUUUUCACUCCUAUAGAUUUUUAUCUGGGCCAGAGAAAUUUUAGAUGAAAUCUGUAAAAUUAUUGAAAUUAUCAUUUUCGCUAACUGUUUAUACCACUGAAAAGGGAUUUGAGCAUGAGAUUGGAACACGUACCUGAUGUAAUCAAGAUUUCUGAUUAGGGCUUUUGUUUUGCUAUCAGAUUGGUCACAAUUUGUGAUUUGAGCAGUUAAAAUUGAGAGAUUCGAACAGAGAGGAAAUUGAGUGGGAAAUUUUUUUAUAGAGAGACGAGUAAGGAGAAGAAGACUUACAUC
RNAcentral lists this long non-coding RNA (584 nucleotides) under Nicotiana tabacum (common tobacco). Its description in RNAcentral is "long non-coding RNA (NTAB_LNC015623)". Lineage: Eukaryota; Viridiplantae; Streptophyta; Magnoliopsida; Solanales; Solanaceae. The record is from RNAcentral.